UUCUUCAAUAUUAAAUUCUUCUUUUUCGAUCGGCUAAAUAAUAGUCUUCUUUUUUAUUAAACAUCAAAUAGUCUUCUUUUGAAAUAAAAUACUGGUUAGAUGUUCAUCUGUCAAAUAUUAAUUAACCUCAAUGGAAUAAUAAACUAAAUAUAAAGGAAAUUAUUUCAAAUAUUAAGAUUUGCAGGCGAGAAUUCAAUAUUUUGGAGCUAUCUCCAUUAAAUAUGUUUAAUUUUCGAAUAGAACAAGAUUAUAUUAAGGUUAGGUUCAUUUUUGGAAUUAGGGUUUGGUACACUAAAUUCGUAGUAGUACAUGUAAAUCAUAUUUUUCAUAUCUAUGUAAACAUAAUUUGAUUAUAUUUUCAUGAUAUUUUAACGGGAAGGAAAAGCAAUGCUUAAAAUCAGACCAAGAUAUAUUUUAUAUGGGAAGAUUUGCACUCAAAACGUGUCUACAAAUUUGUCAUUAUUAUUUGAUAGAAUGUAUAAUAAAAAACGUUCAUGGGGGCUGCAAGUUAAACAUUAAAUUAACCAGGUUAAAGUUUAUUCUGGAACAGCACAUCUAAAGGAUCUAGAGCAACUGUUUCAGGCAAAUUAAAGUUAUUGAUUAAGUUAUGGAAGACACUUCAAUUUUACCAUUGAUAAACAUGAAGUCUGAGAAGUCUCGGCUGGAUCCAUCUUGAAUCGCAAUACAUUUGAAAACAAAUAUGAAACUUGAGCUGACAACUCUUAAAUUGAAAAAAGAUUUGAAGAGUACCUGAUGCCUCCAAUGUAAAAGCAGCCAAGGUUCCCGUAUGAAAGUGCUAUCAAAGAUAUGGACAGAAAGGGUCAAUUUCAUUACUAUUCAAUAUCCUGAUGUUUCUUUUGUUGGAAAAAUAAAUAAAGUAUUAAAAAUGAAUACACCAAACCAAGUGACAUUUAUGUUAGUUGGAAUAACAUUUUAAUUUAGAAUAAAAGUUCCAAAACUGUAGCAUCUUAUUAGUAGUUUUACAUAAAUGAAAGUAAGUGUGUUAAUAAUUCAAAAAUGAUUCCAACAGUUUAAUCAACUAUUAAAUUAUCAGGAGAUAAAGUAUGGUGGAAUGUGAGUAUGGAUUAGAUUUUCUGAUUCAUUAAGUAUCAAACUAGAAACAACGUUUUGUAUAAUUAGUAUCCAAGCAAGAUUUAUACUCAAAGAUCGUAAAAUUAAACCUCAUUUUGGAAAAUUUUAUCCAUUGUUUCAAAGGAUUUUUAUAAUCUGAAUGAAUUACUUCUUACUGAUUAGUAAUUUUAGCCAUCAUAUGUUCAGAAAAACAAUGGUUAUUCUAUAAGAAAUUCUUAAGGUAGAUUGUUUAGAAUUCAAUGUUUUUAAUGGUUUACUACUAUGGAGUCUGGUAUGUUUAUUUUAGAUAUAUUUUAGGGAUCAUCAUUACACCCUUUUUUUUUGUUAAAAGUAUCCUUCAUUUAUUUUUUUACAUUGGUUAUCAAGAAUUUACAAGAGGUAUAAUAUAUUUGGAAAACAACACUGCUGUGCAGUUUAGGAACCCUUUUUAUCUGUUUGUAGAAUAGUUGUUUACAUUAUAUUGAGGGUUUAAUACAGCUAACGAAAAAUGAAAAUGAACAUGCAGACCCUUCUUAGAUGCCUUUGUCUUUGUUCCAAGAAUUGUUUGUUUCAAAUAUAUUUUUUUUAUAUUUAUGAGAUUAUGUUCAACAAAAUUCUUAGAGAGAUAAGGACCCCCCUACACUAUGAGAAAUUUUGAAAUCACAGUAUUCUAGAUACACACUCGUAAUAAUACCAAAAUAACUAUACAUGUUGAGGAUUUAUUAUUGAUAACAAAAUUGACCAUGCAGCUCCUUUUUAGAUGCCUUUAUCUUUGUUGGUAGAAUUUCUUAUUUACUCCACAUUUCGAAUUUAUUUUUGAUAUUCAUGAGAAAAAUAACGUUUAAUAGAAUAUUUUUUGAUAUCGUUUGUCUAAUUUGGGGAUGAGGACCAUCCUACAUUAUGGGAGGUUUUAAAAUCACAGAAUUCUUAAUAUCAAGAUAACAAAAAUGUUUUGAUAUGGUCUUUAUACAUAUGCAGCUAAUUUUUUGGAACUUGGAAUAAAUUUCAGUAACAUUGUUUCAAAUUCUACAAUUCUUAAUUAAUAUAAAAAUUUUCAUGUACCUGUAAUAACUAAUGAAAGUACUAAUUCGAAAAACGAAGUUAUGUCGUAAAACAUUAAAAGUAUACAAAUUCCCAAAAAGAAAUUACUAUUAUUUGCUGCUCACAACCUAUACUUAUAUAGGCUUUUAAUAAUAUAAGUUAUUUUGAAUUGUAAUAAUUAAAUCUAUGCCAUGUUUUAUUGUAUGUAUUAUAUAUAUUAUCACGAAUUAUUUAAAACUUUCUUAGAAAUAUUAUUAAAAAUAUAUAUUGCUUUAUUUAUUUUAUCUUUGAAAACACUAUUUUAUUCAAUAUGGAAAUUAUAUAACAAAAUAUGUAAUAUUUAAUUACUUAUUAUUUAAUAAAUCAAAACUU
Long non-coding RNA from Diorhabda sublineata, 2484 nucleotides. RefSeq lists it as uncharacterized. Lineage: Eukaryota; Metazoa; Arthropoda; Insecta; Coleoptera; Chrysomelidae. The record is from RefSeq and is a predicted model, not a curated record. The transcript has 3 exons.